RNAcentral lists this ribosomal RNA (465 nucleotides) under Vreelandella stevensii. RNAcentral's name for it is "partial 16S ribosomal RNA". It matches the Rfam family "Bacterial small subunit ribosomal RNA", at positions 338 to 795 of the family's 1533-position model. The record is from RNAcentral. Lineage: Bacteria; Pseudomonadati; Pseudomonadota; Gammaproteobacteria; Oceanospirillales; Halomonadaceae.
CCUACGGGUGGCUGCAGUGGGGAAUAUUGGACAAUGGGGGCAACCCUGAUCCAGCCAUGCCGCGUGUGUGAAGAAGGCCCUCGGGUUGUAAAGCACUUUCAGUGAGGAAGAACGCCUGGUGGUUAAUACCCAUCAGGAAAGACAUCACUCACAGAAGAAGCACCGGCUAACUCCGUGCCAGCAGCCGCGGUAAUACGGAGGGUGCGAGCGUUAAUCGGAAUUACUGGGCGUAAAGCGCGCGUAGGUGGCUUGAUAAGCCGGUUGUGAAAGCCCCGGGCUCAACCUGGGAACGGCAUCCGGAACUGUCAAGCUAGAGUGCAGGAGAGGAAGGUAGAAUUCCCUGUGUAGCGGUGAAAUGCGUAGAGAUCGGGAGGAAUACCAGUGGCGAAGGCGGCCUUCUAGACUGACACUGACACUGAGGUGCGAAAGCGUGGGUAGCAAACAGGAUUAGAUACACCUGUAGUC